ACAGGGAUUGCCCUAGUAACGGCGAGUGAAGCGGCAACAGCUCAAAUUUGAAAUCUGGCGUCUUUGGCGUCCGAGUUGUAAUUUGCAGAGGGCGCUUUGGCAUUGGCAGCGGUCCAAGUUCCUUGGAACAGGACGUCACAGAGGGUGAGAAUCCCGUACGUGGUCGCUAGCCUUUACCGUGUAAAGCCCCUUCGACGAGUCGAGUUGUUUGGGAAUGCAGCUCUAAAUGGGAGGUAAAUUUCUUCUAAAGCUAAAUACUGGCCAGAGACCGAUAGCGCACAAGUAGAGUGAUCGAAAGAUGAAAAGCACUUUGGAAAGAGAGUUAAAAAGCACGUGAAAUUGUUGAAAGGGAAGCGCUUGCAGCCAGACUUGCCUGUAGUUGCUCAUCCGGGUUUCUACCCGGUGCACUCUUCUGCGGGCAGGCCAGCAUCAGUUUGGGCGGUUGGAUAAAGGUCUCUGUCAUGUACCUCUCUUCGGGGAGAUCUUAUAGGGGAGACGACAUGCAACCAGCCUGGACUGAGGUCCGCGCAUCUGCUAGGAUGCUGGCGUAAUGGCUGUAAGCGGCCCGUCUUGAAACACGGACCAAGGAGUCUAACAUCUAUGCGAGUGUUUGGGUGUCAAGCCCGAGCGCGUAAUGAAAGUGAACGGAGGUGGGAACCUUUCGGGGUGCACCAUCGACCGAUCCUGAUGUCUUCGGAUGGAUUUGAGUAAGAGCAUAGCUGUUGGGACCCGAAAGAUGGUGAACUAUGCUUGAAUAGGGUGAAGCCAGAGGAAACUCUGGUGGAGGCUCGCAGCGGUUCUGACGUGCAAAUCGAUCGUCAAAUUUGGGCAUAGGGGCGAAAGACUAAUCGAACUAUCUAGUAGCUGGUUCCUGCCGAAGUUUCCCUCAGGAUAGCAGUAACGUUUUCAGUUUUAUGAGGUAAAGCGAAUGAUUAGAGGCCUGGGGGUUGAAACAACCUU
This 960-nucleotide ribosomal RNA is filed under the name Xenodidymella asphodeli. RNAcentral's name for it is "eukaryotic LSU rRNA". It matches the Rfam family "Eukaryotic large subunit ribosomal RNA", at positions 68 to 1048 of the family's 3401-position model. The record is from RNAcentral. Lineage: Eukaryota; Fungi; Ascomycota; Dothideomycetes; Pleosporales; Didymellaceae.